RNAcentral lists this ribosomal RNA (1241 nucleotides) under Candidatus Phytoplasma pyri. RNAcentral describes it as "bacterial SSU rRNA". It matches the Rfam family "Bacterial small subunit ribosomal RNA", at positions 153 to 1399 of the family's 1533-position model. Lineage: Bacteria; Bacillati; Mycoplasmatota; Mollicutes; Acholeplasmatales; Acholeplasmataceae. The record is from RNAcentral.
GAAACGACUGCUAAGACUGGAUAGGAAGUUUUAAGGCAUCUUGAAACUUUUAAAAGACCCGCAAGGGUAUGCUGAGAGAUGGGCUUGCGGCACAUUAGUUAGUUGGUAAGGUAACGGCUUACCAAGACCAUGAUGUGUAGCUGGACUGAGAGGUUGAACGGCCACAUUGGGACUGAGAUACGGCCCAAACUCCUACGGGAGGCAGCAGUAAGGAAUUUUCGGCAAUGGAGGAAACUCUGACCGAGCAACGCCGCGUGAACGAUGAAGUAUUUAGGUAUGUAAAGUUCUUUUAUUAAAGAAGAAAAAAUGAUGGAAAAAUCAUUCUGACGGUAUUUAAUGAAUAAGCCCCGGCUAACUAUGUGCCAGCAGCUGCGGUAAUACAUGGGGGGCAAGCGUUAUCCGGAUUUAUUGGGCGUAAAGGGUGCGUAGGCGGUUUAAUAAGUCUAUGGUCUAAGUUCAACGCUUAACGUUGUGAUGCUAUAGAAACUGUUUGACUAGAGUUGGAUAGAGGCAAGUGGAAUUCCAUGUGUAGCGGUAAAAUGCGUAAAGAUAUGGAGGAACACCAGUAGCGAAGGCGGCUUGCUGGGUCUUAACUGACGCUGAGGCACGAAAGCGUGGGGAGCAAACAGGAUUAGAUACCCUGGUAGUCCACGCCGUAAACGAUGAGUACUAAGUGUUGGGUUUAACCAGUGCUGAAGUUAACGCAUUAAGUACUCCGCCUGAGUAGUACGUACGCAAGUAUGAAACUUAAAGGAGUUGACGGGACUCCGCACAAGCGGUGGAUCAUGUUGUUUAAUUCGAAGAUACACGAAAAACCUUACCAGGUCUUGACAUACUCUGCAAAGCUAUAGAAAUAUAGUGGAGGUUAUCAGGGAUACAGGUGGUGCAUGGUUGUCGUCAGCUCGUGUCGUGAGAUGUUGGGUUAAGUCCCGCAACGAGCGCAACCCUUAUCGCUAGUUACCAUCAUUUAGUUGGGCACUUUAGUGAGACUGCCAAUGAUAAAUUGGAGGAAGGUGGGGAUUACGUCAAAUCAUCAUGCCCCUUAUGACCUGGGCUACAAACGUGAUACAAUGGCUGUUACAAAGAGUAGCUGAAGCGUGAGUUUUUAGCAAAUCUCAAAAAAACAGUCUCAGUUCGGAUUGAAGUCUGCAACUCGACUUCAUGAAGUCGGAAUCGCUAGUAAUCGCGAAUCAGCAUGUCGUGGUGAAUACGUUCUCGGGGUUUGUACACACCGCCCGUCA